Molecule: long non-coding RNA, 3127 nt
Organism: Dasypus novemcinctus (nine-banded armadillo)
Lineage: Eukaryota; Metazoa; Chordata; Mammalia; Cingulata; Dasypodidae
Source: Ensembl
GCCGCCCCUGGCGCAGGAGGCGGGGAUGUGCGAGGCGAGGCGCGGGCGGGGAGGGCCGGGCGCCCCGCGGGAGGGCUGGGGCCUCCCCGGCUAGGGUUUCGCGCGGCCCCGGGGGAUAGAGUUGUCCCUGGGCUCGGGUUCCGUACCAUCCCCCUCCUCGGGCCGCGGGCCGAGCCGGCCCGUUAAUGAUUGAUGCGGGGGGCCAAAGGCUGCGCCAGGCACCCGGCCGCUCGCGCCGAGGGGUUCGAAACCCGCCAGCCACGCGGGCGUUCGAGAGGACAUUGGGGAGCCGCGUUCGCGGGGGGCGGGGCGCGAAGGCCGCGGGCGGGGGGCGUCGGCUCCCGGCGUCCCGAAGCCGCGGAGGGCGGAGAGAGGGGCUAACAGUAAUCCCCGGAGGUCGGGGGCAGCUCUCCGGAAAUGGGGCGGCUUCGAGACCUCGUCCGGAUGGGGUCCGUGUCAUUGUCAGAUGCCUAAGGGCUCCUCUUCUCUCCCUCGCAUCGCGCGUGUGUGUUGUGUGUGCGCGCGCGCGUGCGUCGGCCUCUGUCUCUCCUGGCACCACGUCAAGCCUUAGUUCACCUCCUUUGGUCCAGCGGACUGACUCAGCCCUUUCUCCAAAUUCGGAGCUCCCCUCAGCCUAUGCCAAGAGUGCCUCCUCACUGCCAGCCCUACGUGUAGGGCGGCCGCCCGUCACCUGCCAGCGGGACUCUCCCCCGUCAUGUGGGAAGAUGUUUUCUUACAGGGCUUCGACUUGCCAGCUGAGAGUGUUCUGUCAGGAAGGAGUCUCUUUCCAAAUGUGUGAGGAGUCCGUGCUUGUUUCUUCACGUGGCAGCUGGGGAACUUUUGACCGCGGUGACAACCCUCCACCUUUCUCUUCUCCCUAUGAAUAGACCCCUGGAAUCAUUCCAUGCAGGACCUACGAUGGCCUGUUGGGGUCCCUGUGGUGAAAGGGGGCAGGAGCCAUUUCCCCAGCCUCUUCUAUUCCUUUCCCAUGGGCAGACUUUUAAGACUACAGAUUAGAAACCCACGCCCCGAGAAGCAGCCUUGCUCAAGGGCACACAGCUGGGACUAAAACCCACAGGGCAUGGGGUUUCUGACUCCCAGCCCUGUGCUUUCUGUGAGACUACUACUGAGGGCACAGUGUGCGGUGAUGGAAUUACUCUUAUUCCUAUGUUCCCCCCUCUCUCUAAGAGCAAUAAACCCAGCCAGGACCUAAUAAAACCCCAGCCUAAGAUGUUGCAACUUCCAAAGGUGUUUAUGUUUUAAUAGGGAUCCUUGAAAACGAAAAGCUGCCAAGAUUUAGAAGGAAGGGCGUUUAAUAAUGGGGCGGAUUUCUGGGCACAACGCAAUGAACGCAGGGGGAAGAAACAGACUGGAUGGGUUGUUUUGGGGGGUGGGGUGCAGUGGGGGGGGAGGAAGCCCCCUUGCUUGAGGAGAACGCAAAGAGACUUGAAGACAGACAGCGAGGGGUCCUGGUUCCAGGUCAGCAGACAGCCUCAGAUGGGGGGACGGCGGCCACAUUCGGGAAGUGCCACUUAGUGAGGCUGAAGCAGGACAGAGCACAGAACCCAGAAACAGAGGAGCCGCCGCGCAGCGUGGGGUCUGAGUACCUGACAUCAGGGUGAGUUGUUAGGGGGUGGUGGGUUCUGGGGCCCUGGUUUCUUGUUCUGGUUCUGGGAGAGGUUGGAGCCGGGGACAGACUAAUCCCAACAUGCAGGAAACCGCUUGUGCUCUUUCCUUUUAAACCUGGCAAGAAGAGCUUGUGUAAGUCAAAACACCAGUUGCCAUUUAUUCUUAUUUGUAGAAAGUGUUUGUUUUUAAAAUAGAGAAUUUCUAAGGGGGAGAAAACGGCUUAAAUCCUAAACCAUUGGCAAUAUUCUAAAUUCUCUGCCAAUCUUUCUUAAUAUACCUACAGAUGUUCUGUAUGAUUAUACUUCAUGUGGGAGUUAUAUCUUUUGUGUUUUAAUGUAGAUAUUUCCAGGAAUUACCAUAGUCCACGUCUUUUCCAUUUUUAAUAACUCUAUAAUGCAUCACCCAGAUGACAUUAUAGAUCCUUACAGGAAGUGUUUGGGGGUACUAAAAAUUUAUUAUGAUCACCAAUUGUACUGUUUUGAAAAUACCUUUGAAUAAUUUUUUUUUUCCUUUCAGAUUGUUUCCUUGACAUAAAUUCCCCAGAAUGGAACUGUGAGGUCAAUAUAUACAAACAGUUUAGUGGCUCCUGUUGCGAUUGACAGAUUUCUCUCUCAAAAAAUUGAGAUUUUUUUCCUCACUACCCUGUCAACCCAAAGUCCAGGAAGGUCUCACACCCCAUAUUCUACAGGGAUCUGCUGGACUUACCCUGGCCUUUGCCCUCGAUCCUAGAUGCACAUACCACACGUGUGCCUCAAGGUUUUAUCAAGGCGAGCCUCAAGGCAGAGGGGAGAGCCAAGCCGGGCGAGCUGAGUCAUGCUGGCCCCGGCCCAAGGCUGACCUCAGCCACCGUGAGAAGUCAGAGCGGAAAUGCUGCCUCUCUUUCUGCUUAGAGAAUGGGUACCCCGUUGUAAUGGACAGGAGUAGGAUACAGAGUGGAAAUUGAAAAGGAAUUUUCGUUGUGUAGUAUUAGCAAUUACUGUAGUAUAUGUAGUAUAUGUAGAUGCUAUCAGGUCAUUUAUGAUAUGAUUUUUUAAAAAAAGACCCUAUUUGCUCCGUUAGACAUGGAGAUAACCAAUUCUUCCUUCACCAAUUGCGCUGCAUUUUGGUGUUUCAAAGCAAAGUGAUGAGUCAGUCAUGAUUUCUGAGUGAACGUAUUCCUAGAAAUAGGAAACUUCUAAUAAAUGAGACAACCCAGUGUUUUCUCUCCAGGGAACUUUCUCUCCGAGCUACCUGUGCUUUCCCCCCCACCCUUUUUUUUUUCUUUUUUUAAUUGUUAAAACAACACAGUGUUUAACAGACUGUUAGAAUGCACAUUAGCCAUGCCCUUCGUGUAAAAAUCCGUCUGAAUAAAAGGAAAUCAAUUCCAGGGGAUUCCUUGCGAAAUGCAGCUUUAAAAUAAGUUUUCUGGGAAACUGCAGGCCUGUUUUGAACUGGGCUGGUGCACUUGUCCUGGUUGAGGAGAAGACCCAGGCGGGGAGGUGGAGGGAUGAGUCAGCGA